GAAUCCCUUAGAAGAGAAACGUGUAACGAAAUAUAGUGUUCAUCAAAUUUCCAUGAUAUCAGUGUUAAGAUGUGCAUUUAAUAAAACAUGCAGUGAACAACUCUGUUCCACACGUCGUUGGCAGCCAUGAAAGCAGUGGAGCUUCCCCAUGUACUGUACUAAAUCUUAAUUUAACCCCCGAGACUUACAGACAUAGAUCUUUUAAAAUAGACUGCAUUCUGAAAGCUUAUUUUUAAGUAUGCAUAAAUAACAUUUUCGUAUGCAUACUUAAGAUUCUAGUAGGUUUUUUGUUGUUGUUGUUAGUAUGCAUACUUAAGAUUCUAGUAGUUUUUUGGAUUCUAGUAUUUUAUUUUUUUGUAAGUAUGCAUACUUAAAAUUCUAGUAGUUUUUGUUAGUAUGCAUACUUAAGAUUCUAGUGGAGUUUUUUUUUGGAUUCUAGUAUUUUUUUGUUAGUAUGCAUACUUAAGAUUCUAGUAGUUUUUUUGGAUUCUAGUAGUUUUUUUUGUAAGUAUGCAUACUUAAGAUUCUAGUGGGUUUUUUUUGUUAGUAUGCAUGCUUAAAAUUCUAGUAGUUUUUUGUUAGUAUGCAUACUUAAAAUUCUAGUAGUUUUUUUGUUAGUAUGCAUACUUAAGAUUCUAGUGGGUUUUUUUGUUAGUAUGCAUACUUAAGAUUCUAGUGGGUUUUUUUUGUUAGUAUGCAUGCUUAAAAUUCUAGUAGUUUUUUUGGAUUCUAGUAGUUUUUUUGUAAGUAUGCAUACUUAAGAUUCUAGUAGUUUUUUUUGUUAGUAUGCAUACUUAAGAUUCUAGUAGUUUUUUUUGUUAGUAUGCAUACUUAAAAUUCUAGUAGUUUUUUUGUUAGUAUGCAUACUUAAGAUUCUAGUGGGGUUUUUUUUGUUAGUAUGCAUACUUAAGAUUCUAGUGGGGUUUUUUUUUUGGAUUCUAGUAGUUUUUUGUAAGUAUGCAUACUUAAGAUUCUAGUAGUUUUUUUUGGAUUCUAGUAGUGCAUACUUAAGAUUCUAGUAGGUUUUUUUGGAUUCUAGUA
Ictalurus punctatus (channel catfish) is the source of this 1041-nucleotide long non-coding RNA. The record is from Ensembl. NCBI's taxonomy places the organism in Eukaryota, Metazoa, Chordata, Actinopteri, Siluriformes, Ictaluridae.